RNAcentral lists this ribosomal RNA (460 nucleotides) under uncultured bacterium. RNAcentral describes it as "partial 16S ribosomal RNA". It matches the Rfam family "Bacterial small subunit ribosomal RNA", at positions 338 to 795 of the family's 1533-position model. The record is from RNAcentral.
CCUACGGGAGGCAGCAGUGAGGAAUAUUGGUCAAUGGACGAGAGUCUGAACCAGCCAAGUAGCGUGAAGGAUGACUGCCCUAUGGGUUGUAAACUUCUUUUAUAUGGGAAUAAAGUGAGGCACGUGUUCCUUUUUGUAUGUACCUUAUGAAUAAGCAUCGGCUAACUCCGUGCCAGCAGCCGCGGUAAUACGGAGGAUGCGAGCGUUAUCCGGAUUUAUUGGGUUUAAAGGGUGCGUAGGUGGUGAAUUAAGUCAGCAGUGAAAGUUUGUGGCUCAACCAUAAAAUUGCCGUUGAAACUGGUUGACUUGAGUAUAUUUGAGGUAGGCGGAAUGCGUGGUGUAGCGGUGAAAUGCAUAGAUAUCGCGCAGAACUCCGAUUGCGAAGGCAGCUUACUAAACUAUAACUGACACUGAAGCACGAAAGCGUGGGGAUCAAACAGGAUUAGAUACCCGGGUAGUC